RNAcentral lists this ribosomal RNA (466 nucleotides) under uncultured bacterium. RNAcentral describes it as "bacterial SSU rRNA". It matches the Rfam family "Bacterial small subunit ribosomal RNA", at positions 28 to 508 of the family's 1533-position model. The record is from RNAcentral.
GACGAACGCUGGCGGCGUGCUUAACACAUGCAAGUCGAACGGAAAGGCCCUGCUUGCAGGGUACUCGAGUGGCGAACGGGUGAGUAACACGUGGGUGAUCUGCCCUGCACUUCGGGAUAAGCCUGGGAAACUGGGUCUAAUACCGGAUAGGAGCCAUUUUUAGUGUGAUGGUUGGAAAGUUUUUUCGGUGUAGGAUGAGCUCGCGGCCUAUCAGCUUGUUGGUGGGGUAAUGGCCUACCAAGGCGGCGACGGGUAGCCGGCCUGAGAGGGUGGACGGCCACAUUGGGACUGAGAUACGGCCCAGACUCCUACGGGAGGCAGCAGUGGGGAAUAUUGCACAAUGGGCGCAAGCCUGAUGCAGCGACGCCGCGUGGGGGAUGACGGCCUUCGGGUUGUAAACUCCUUUCGCUAGGGACGAAGCUUUUUGUGACGGUACCUAGAUAAGAAGCACCGGCUAACUACGUGC